UGGAAGCGCCGUUACGGAAAGUACAAGUCCCCUGCCAAAUGGUUGUGCUAAGGAGCAGAGUGUAUGCGCAAAAUGCCAUUGCUGUGUGGAUCGUAUAGUGGGAAGAGAUUCUUCAGAAGUAGAAGCCAAGCAAAAAUUGCUUGACGA
Molecule: long non-coding RNA, 147 nt
Organism: Quercus lobata
Lineage: Eukaryota; Viridiplantae; Streptophyta; Magnoliopsida; Fagales; Fagaceae
Exons: 3
Source: RefSeq, a predicted model, not a curated record